CUCAUCUCUUGCGGAGGCAGGAGGUGUCAGCAGGAGAAGCUCUCCCAUGACAUAGUGUUGUCUACAACAGUGCUUAGGUCAAUGAAACUUAUAUCGCUCAGGGAGUGGAUUAUUCACAUCCCUGAGUGACGAAAAUUAUACUAAAAGUAACCUGUAGUGUAGACAAGGAAAACAAUUUUUAACAUCAUGUGUCUAGAUAACAGUAAGCCACUCCAAAGGUGAAAGCAUUAAAGAAGGAGGAAGAGCAUCUGUGAGUACUCACGAAGAUAGGAGGGAUGUUAGGACUAGGGUAGGAAUCAGGGGUUUAAGACCCACUUGAGCAAGGUUCUUAACACACGAGUAGACCCACUGAUUUCACUUGGACUAGUCAUGUCUCAUAGUCAGACACAUGUUUAAAUACCUUACAGAGCCAGGGCCUUACAGAGUAAAGGAGGAGAGACUGUACACCAGAAUUAGAGGUGGUUGGAUGGAUUCCCAAACUGGCGCAACUCCACUACCUUCAGUGCAGUCACUCUGGCUUUACAGCAGUGUGGCUGAGAUCAGUCUUUAACCCACUGCAGUCAUAUUGGUCAGUAGGAAAGGGACACAGAGGUGGAAGAUGAAUAGUUCAGAAUUGGAGUUUGGGAGUAUGCAGAUUGAGUGAACUCUGUAUUGAUGAGGGCUGAGUCUAGAUGUUGUAGAUGUAAGAGGUUCCAAGUCAACCUGUUUCUGGCUCUGACUUUGUCCAAGGGCAGGAUUUACACAGUACAGUUUAUGAAGUUAUUCAGCAUAUUCCAGAACAACAGGAAGACCAUCAAGAAGGUACAUGAAGAUGCAAGCACAGCAAAUCAAGACAUCCUAAUGCAAAUGUUAACUUCUGUGUCUUUACUGGAAAUGGAAAGCAAAUGUCUGCCGCUCUCAAAAUGGCAAAAGGACUAAGCUAGCUUCUAAAAUGAUAAUACUUUCUUAAUCUAGCCAUUCUUUUUUCUUUCUUGCUCCUAACAUACUGGAUUUGGUUAUUGAUUUUGUUUAACUAAUGGUUUCUUGAAGCUGCUGGGAUUUUUUAAUUGCUGAAAAUUUUUUGCAUUCUGAACUGCAAAAAGAAAACAGAGCCAAAAGAAAAUAUAGAUAAUAAAUACUAUAUCAUUAAGUCUGGGAUUGCUGCC
RNAcentral lists this long non-coding RNA (1145 nucleotides) under Gopherus agassizii (Agassiz's desert tortoise). RNAcentral describes it as "lncRNA (ENSGAGG00000014194.1)". Lineage: Eukaryota; Metazoa; Chordata; Testudines; Testudinidae. The record is from RNAcentral.